AUUGAACGCUGGCGGCAUGCCUUACACAUGCAAGUCGAACGGCAGCACGGGAGCUUGCUCCUGGUGGCGAGUGGCGAACGGGUGAGUAAUACAUCGGAACGUACCCGUGAAGUGGGGAGUAACGUAGCGAAAGUUACGCUAAUACCGCAUAUUCUGUGAGCAGGAAAGAGGGGGAUCGCAAGGACCUCUUGCGUUUAGGAGCGGCCGAUGUCGGAUUAGCUAGUUGGUGAGGUAAAGGCUCACCAAGGCGACGAUCCGUAGCGGGUCUGAGAGGAUGAUCCGCCACACUGGGACUGAGACACGGCCCAGACUCCUACGGGAGGCAGCAGUGGGGAAUUUUGGACAAUGGGCGCAAGCCUGAUCCAGCCAUGCCGCGUGAGUGAAGAAGG
Molecule: ribosomal RNA, 389 nt
Filed under: uncultured bacterium
Lineage: Bacteria
Description: bacterial SSU rRNA
Rfam family: Bacterial small subunit ribosomal RNA
Source: RNAcentral